GGAUGGAAUGACCCUUCGGGGGAAUGAAAUCCUAGAAAGUGGCGAACGGGUGAGUAACGCGUGGGUAACCUGCCCUAUGGAAAGGAAUAGCCUCGGGAAACUGGGAGUAAUGCCUUAUAAUAUACGAGAGUCGCAUGGCUUUUGUAUUAAACGCUCCGGUGCCAUAGGAUGGACCCGCGUCCCAUUAGCUAGUUGGUGAGAUAACAGCCCACCAAGGCAACGAUGGGUAACCGGUCUGAGAGGGCGAACGGUCACACUGGAACUGAGACACGGUCCAGACUCCUACGGGAGGCAGCAGUGGGGAAUAUUGCGCAAUGGGGGCAACCCUGACGCAGCAAUACCGCGUGAGUGAAGAAGGUUUUCGGAUCGUAAAGCUCUGUUAUUGGGGAAGAAAAAAGACGGUACCCAAGAAGAAAGUCCCGGCUAACUACGUGCCAGCAGCCGCGGUAAUACGUAGGGGACAAGCGUUGUCCGGAUUUACUGGGCGUAAAGGGCACGCAGGCGGUUUUUUAAGUCAGAUGUGAAAGGUACCGGCUCAACCGGUGACAUGCAUUUGAAACUGAAAGACUUGAGUAUUGGAGAGGCAAGUGGAAUUCCUAGUGUAGCGGUGAAAUGCGUAGAUAUUAGGAGGAACACCGGUGGCGAAGGCGGCUUG
This 655-nucleotide ribosomal RNA is filed under the name uncultured Acetobacterium sp. RNAcentral's name for it is "bacterial SSU rRNA". It matches the Rfam family "Bacterial small subunit ribosomal RNA", at positions 64 to 728 of the family's 1533-position model. The record is from RNAcentral. Lineage: Bacteria; Bacillati; Bacillota; Clostridia; Eubacteriales; Eubacteriaceae.